RNAcentral lists this ribosomal RNA (233 nucleotides) under uncultured bacterium. Its description in RNAcentral is "partial 16S ribosomal RNA". It matches the Rfam family "Bacterial small subunit ribosomal RNA", at positions 32 to 240 of the family's 1533-position model. The record is from RNAcentral.
AGUCAACGCUGGCGGCGUGCCUCAGACAUGCAAGUCGAACGCGAAAGUUCCCUUCGGGGAGCAAGUAGAGUGGCGCACGGGUGAGUAACACGUAGGUAAUUUGCCUUCGGUGGGAAGUAACAGUCGAACGGACUGCUAAUACCGCACAAUGCAGCGGCUCGACAAUACGAGACAGUUGUUAAAGACGGGGGAUCCUUCGGGACCUCGACGCCUGAAGAGAAGCCUGCGGCAGA